AGCGAACGCUGGCGGCAGGCUUAACACAUGCAAGUCGAACGGGCAUCUUCGGAUGUCAGUGGCAGACGGGUGAGUAACACGUGGGAACGUACCCUUCGGUUCGGAAUAACUCAGGGAAACUUGAGCUAAUACCGGAUACGCCCUUUUGGGGAAAGGUUUACUGCCGAAGGAUCGGCCCGCGUCUGAUUAGCUUGUUGGUGGGGUAACGGCCUACCAAGGCGACGAUCAGUAGCUGGUCUGAGAGGAUGAUCAGCCACACUGGGACUGAGACACGGCCCAGACUCCUACGGGAGGCAGCAGUGGGGAAUAUUGGACAAUGGGCGCAAGCCUGAUCCAGCCAUGCCGCGUGAGUGAUGAAGGCCUUAGGGUUGUAAAGCUCUUUUGUCCGGGACGAUAAUGACGGUACCGGAAGAAUAAGCCCCGGCGAACUUCGU
RNAcentral lists this ribosomal RNA (434 nucleotides) under uncultured bacterium. Its description in RNAcentral is "partial 16S ribosomal RNA". It matches the Rfam family "Bacterial small subunit ribosomal RNA", at positions 29 to 506 of the family's 1533-position model. The record is from RNAcentral.